UGUAUGAUACGAUCAGAACACUUUAGGACCU
This 31-nucleotide non-coding RNA is filed under the name Rattus norvegicus (Norway rat). The record is from RNAcentral. Lineage: Eukaryota; Metazoa; Chordata; Mammalia; Rodentia; Muridae.